Molecule: long non-coding RNA, 6035 nt
Organism: Dermochelys coriacea (leatherback sea turtle)
Lineage: Eukaryota; Metazoa; Chordata; Testudines; Dermochelyidae
Exons: 3
Source: RefSeq, a predicted model, not a curated record
CGAGUUAUAAGUAAGUACAUUAUUGCAUCUGCACACUGGGUCCAACGCUCCUGCUUUACUUUCACUUGUUUUCUGUUUCAGCAGAUGAAUGAUGUCUGGAUUGGGAGACUGCAGUGUCAGGCAGUUAUGGGGUGAGAGCCUGGCACUAUUUCCUUCUCUAGAGCCAGAUUUUUCACCCCAAGUGUUCUGCUCCUCUAGACUCAGCCUGACACGGAGCGGGAGCUGGAGCUGUCAGCAACUGAAUACCCUGAUGAACUGGAGGGACCUGAGGGACCUGCUCGAGAGAACGGGACGCAGGUCGACUUGGAGAGCUGCUUCUCUGCCUCAAAGUUUCCCUUCUCAGAAUCCUGGUCAAAGACGGGUUUUCCUGAUGAAAGAUAGAGAAACCAUUCCAGAGCUGCACCAGGUCUCUGUCGAUACCAGUGUAUAUAAGCACUACUAAGGGCUAUGCCAGAAACAUGACAGUCAAUUUGUGCAGUUCUAUCUUCUGCUUUGGUGAUGGAUAGUUGAGAUUGUACCAGUACUUGGGCCUCUCCAUCUGCAGAGAAAAGAGACAAAUGUCAAUUAAUCUGAAAUUGAAUGAACAUGGAGGAUCUCCAAUCAUUGCUCAGUAAGGUGCCUGCAUGGAGAAGCCUAGAGUGUAAAAAGCAACUUACAAGACCAAACUACUGAAGCAAGAAGAUAAACUUGCAAUAGUAACAUUCUCACUAAGUUAUGAUGAACCUGCUACUGAGAAAGAAAGGAAUAUGAAUUCUGAUCUCAGAAAAAGGGUGGGAUCACUUGAGUAGAGGAAGUGACAGAUGAGCUAUUUCAAGGCAAUACAGAUAUGUGUUUGCCUUAUUAAAAGUUCAAAAGUUUUGUGAUAGGAACAUCUAUUAACCUUCACUCAUGCUAUCCAGCAACUUUUCUGACUGCUGCCUUGUUUAGAACUUUUGAAAAAGAGUAUCAUAUUAUAACAACAAUAGUUGCAGGUAUUGAGGUUUUCUGCAUUCCUUUAAAAAAAAACCCCAUAAACAUUAGCAGAUUUGAUCAAGGAAUAAUGCUCUCAGCAUGAAAAAGGCAACUCCUCAGGUAAUCUGAUAAUACUCUAUCUUCCCCUAGCUCAGUUAUAUUGAAACAAGAAAAUUCAAUUAGAGUAAAUCAUUUGCAGUGUUCUUAUUUUCAUACACAUUUAUAUCCUGUUAAAUGGCCUUUUGGUAUAAAAAACAAACAAACAGAGAACCCUAUAGAUUUUUAUCACUUUACUUAUAUAGAAACGUGCAGUUCUAGGAUGGAAACACUGUAAUGACUGCUGUAAAUAUACGUUUCCAACCAACCAAUCUUGCCUCCAAAGAAUCAACAUCAGCCCUCUUCUUGGCAUCUAAAGAGAGCCCCUUUACAGAAAUUCCAAUUUAGUAGUUCCACAGCAAAAGGAUGAGUCUUCGGUAUGUUGUGGAUGUCUGGGAGUUGAAAUGUCUGAGAGUUCUUCCACUGACCUCACUGGGCUCUGGAUGAAACUUGAAAAGGCCUGUCCUGUAAGGUGCGGAGCACCUUCAUCUCCCAUUACAGGCAACAGGAACUCACAAGGCCAGGGCCUUAUGGCUUUAAAUCCCAACAACAGUAAAAUGAAAAUCCCAUUCCUAAUACUAAAAUGUGCGAAAAGAUUCUUCUGAGUGUACUUGGGGUUUUUUUGUUUUUGUUUGGUGGUGGUGUUUACAAAAAAGCACUUUACAAUAAUGGUAAAGUAAUUGCAAUCCAAACCUGCUAGAUGUCUAAACAGUAAUUUGUUGGUUUCCUGUCUUGAUGAUGAAGCCCCUGAAAAGCAACACAUCCUGUUUUGUUAAAAGGAUGUUUGUGGUAUGGGGAGGGAGGGAAGGCGGGGGGGGGGAUUUGCUGUAUAAACUUUUUAUUCUCAAGACACCUUAUAGCUUCACAAAAUAAGGUGUUAAUGGUUCAAUAUUAAUUCAGUUAAAAAUUUUGUGCCACUGUAUCAUUUUCUCCCUUCACCAUUUGCUCCAUGUUACAGAAAGGAGCACAUUCUGAAAAAGGUAGACUUGAGAAAUCUCAGCUGCUAAUGCCUAGGUCCAUGUUCCAGAUCUUGCUACAGUCCUUUGAAAAUUCUUUGAAAUUUUUGUUGUUGUUGGAGGUUUUUGUGGGUUUUUUUUUUUGAGGAACACAGUGGGAUAACUUUGCAUUGAUGACUGGGUCAUAACUUUUGAAACUAUAUAAUUGCUGGUACAGUGAUCAAGAGACUAGAAGGAAAACAGUCACCCAACUCAAGUAUGAAAUCUUAUUAUGACUUGAUUGAAUUCUGUACCUAAGUCUAAGAACUAUUAAAAAUAAACUGAACGCUUUGCUCAUACAGAGCUUAUCCUAUAAAGCACUAAGUAAUGCUAGAAGUGCUGAGGUCUCAUCUCUCAUUAGUGCCUACAGAUGAUGAUGAGAGCACCCACUACCUUUUAGAAAUAGCUCACUAUCUGGCAGGAUAGGGCACCUUUCCUUUGGAGAUUUCAAAGUGCUUUAAACAAUCUUUAAUGCAAGAAAAAAGAAAUGCCAAACAUCUUCCUUACUGAUGCAGAGGAUGGUGUGAACAAUACAUUACAAAACUUGCAUACGAUUCAAAACUGGGUUGAGUUGGAGACACCCGUGAGGACAGAGAAAAUAUGGAAAACUCUGAGAUCAGUAUCAUUAAGUUUUCUUGAUAUUCUACCAGGCAUGGAAUCAUCUGUCAAAGAAGAUGAUGGAAGCCCCGUUUUGGAGCCCUUUAAAACUAGACUUCACACAACACUAGAAAACACUUGGUAGGGAAUAGUUCUGCAUUGGCAGGAAGAUGGACUGGAUGCUGUAAUAGGUCUUUUCCAUUUCAAACCGCUAUGGUUUUAUGAUCUUUAACCACAUAUUAAUGAUUUUUUUGGAAAGAAAUAUGUAAGUACCACACUUCUGUAAAUGUCCCAUGUUCAUGAUUUGUUGUGGACCAAAUGGUUUCCUUAACAUACAUGCCAAGAACUUGAAUGGAUAUUAAUCUAUAUUGGACAUUCUGAACGGUGUCUGUAAGUGACAGACACAUGUAUGACUCUCUAAAUUAUAUGUGAGUGAGUACCAUAUAUAAUCCAAUGAUAUUAACAGGAGUGCCACACGUCGAUCAACACUACAAUAAGCAGUUUCAUUUGCUCAUUUGAAAUGAUUAAAAGUUCUCAGUCAAAGAUGAUUGAUGGUGAAAUGAGCUAUCAGAGGACAUAAGUGUGAACCAAAACCUAUCCAAUUUCAGGAGCGGCUGGAAUUCCUGGAACCUAGGAUAUGGUAUUCCAUUUCCACUCUGCUGAAACGGACAUAGCUAGAGGGAGGUACUGCAUUACUGUGAUCCCUAACUCCCACAAUGGCUCCUUAGGAUCAUUCCUAGCAGGGCACAACUAAAUGCACUAAGGUGUAGUGGGAGCAAAACUAGCCACUAGCUGACCCCAGCACUAUGGGGACACAGAGAUGGCAUCCAGCCACCUUUGUCACCAAGCUCAGUCUUGCACCGAGUGCAGUGCAGAUGAAUAUGAGGUACGGGCCCUUUUCCAUGGGAAAGAAGCCCCCCAGGAUUUCCUGUUCCCGUCUCACAUUUAGAAUGAAGAGCUUGUAAGCUAUACAUUUUGGCUGUUCUUGUCUUAACUCCUCGAGCAUGGCACACGUGCACUCAGAGGAGCCAAGUUAGUUAUUUUAUGUAUGGCCAUCGAAAGUGAGUAGAAAACUCCAGUAUUCUGUGUACACUACAGCUCCAGCCAUGGAUAUGUGCUGAAAAUUCCCAGUGGAGAUGCCAACUGCUGUUUGUUCCCUCCUAGAAAAUGUCUUCCCCCGCCCUCACCUUCCCUGUUCACUUAACUCCCCCGGCCUGUCCCCAGUUAUUUAUUGUCCCCAUCCCAUUCUUCCUCAUUCUCUCACUCCCCCAGUGUCUCUGAUCACCCAUUGCUUUGUGAAGUCAAAUGGGUAGUGACUGUUCAAUCACUUGUUCUGCCUUUAGAGAUGGAGCCAGCACCGGUAGGCAGUCACUGGAUGUCAGCUUUGUGCUACCCACUAGUCAAACUCCCACUUCCCUGGCACAGGCAAAUCCCUACACAACUUGGGCUGGCCGAAUGGGGGUUCACACUGGCCAUGGUUUGUGGGACUGAGGCUAUGCCUGUUGCGUAGGCUGGUGUGCCUGGGCCGGGGGAGGGAUCAGCCUGCUCUGCUGCAGCAGUAAUAUGAGAGUUGAGCCCCCCCCACAGAGCUGUGGUGGUUUUUGUGCAGGGUUGCAGGAAGCUGGUGGCACUGUGUAAAAUCCCAUGUGGCACAGUAAUAGCGGCCACUGUCUGUCUCUUCCAGCUUGUGCACCAACAAGUUAGAGAUGCUUUGUCUCCCAUAGGCUGAGAAUUUCUCCUUGGGGAAGGCUGCCUCUCGCUUUAACUGCGACCCAGAGAGAGUGAGGUACAGCAGCCUGUGUGGGGCCUCUCCAGCUGGGGCUCGGUACCAGUGGAUGUAGGUAGAGUCCGAUCCACCAAACACCUUGCAAGUGAAUUUGGCAGAGCUGCCUUGAAGUGGCUGCUUUGUGACCGAGAUCUGCUCCUGCUCCAGGUGAAUGGCCCACAGAACAGCUGGAAGGCAAAAAGAGAGAAAGCAGCCAUGAGGAGACAGCACCUAGACACAUUUCCCUCUUCAGAGAGCAGUAACAUGUAAAUGGUCUUGCAACCUGCAAGUUCUUGAGAAAGGUACAUGGGCUUAAUUAUCCAUUGCCUUGUGCCUUGUAUAGCCAUUUAUGUCUCUGUAAAUGUGAGGGCAAAAUGGGUAAAGCCUCUAUCUCUAAUGUGAGUGAAUGAUCAAUUUCUGUUUACACCUGGGCAAAUAUGGUGUGAACAAUUACACAAGGUACAGGGAAGUGAAGAAUCAGACCCUUUAUCUGUGAGGAACCAUCCCCAGGAUUACGGAUCCUGAUUUCUUCAUUUCUGUACACCAGUUUUAUUUCAGUUCAAUGCCAUUGGCUUUAUUGGUACUGUACUAGCAUCAAGUUGUUACAUUGGACUCGAGAUUCAGGCCCAUGCUCGGGCUUUUUUUUUUGUUAACAAUAAAUACAAAAUAAAAUCACUAACUACAGUUAAUGUGUCCAAUAAACUUACCAGGGAAGAAGCAAGCAAAGAGAGCUUGCAGAUAUCCCGCCAUGCCUCUUUAACUUGCUGCACCUUUUCGGGAAGGAAAGUUAUUGAAGUUAAUGGUGCUCAAUUUUGUCAAAAGAAAAAUACUGUUAUCCAGUUCUGACUGAAGAAAGCAAAAAAUGAGGAUAUUGCUGCUCUUUUUACUGUACCAUCUGGUUUCCUGUUGAGUUGGGGGUGGGAGAAGGACGGAGAGUUUGUGAGAGAGCCAUUAACCAUUUUAGGUUUCAGAGUAGCAGCUGUGUUAGUCUGUAUCCGCAAAAAGAAAAGGAGUACUUGUGGCAUCUUAGAGACUAACAUAUUUAUUUGAGCAUAAGCUUUCGUGAGCUACAGCUCACUUCAUCGGAUGCAUUCUAGAUUCUUGGGUCCAGAUCCUAAUUCAGUAAUUAGGAUGAUUUCAAUGGAAGUUAGGAGACUAAAUACCUCUGAGAAUUUCUGCCUUAGUGCCUUCUCCUUCCAUGGACAGAAAUAUACACAUAGCAAAUUGUAGUGCACUUUUCCACCAUUAAUGCUCUCUGGUUAAGGCACUGAACUAGGACUCGGGAGGUCUGAACUCAAUUCACAGCAAUGCCACAAAUGUCAUGCAUGACCAUAGGCAAGUUACCAAGAGCCUGAAUUUCAGAGGUGCAGAAGUACCCACUGGUUCUGUCAAUUUGUGCUGGAGGGAGAAGUGCUCAGCUCUUCUUGAAAAUCUGGCCCAUAGUUCUCUUUUUACAGUUGGAGAACAGGAGAUUAUUGUUUCUUUUUAUGUGUUGUCUAUUUAGACUAUAACCUCUUUGAGGCCGGGAUCAUCUCUCACUGUGAUCUACAGCAUCUAGCACAGUGGGACCCCUCUCUUUCAGUUGGGGCCCGUAGGCCCUAAAUCAUGAAAAUAAUAAUUUUAUUAUUAUA